RNAcentral lists this ribosomal RNA (153 nucleotides) under Triticum aestivum (bread wheat). RNAcentral's name for it is "partial small subunit ribosomal RNA". The record is from RNAcentral. Lineage: Eukaryota; Viridiplantae; Streptophyta; Magnoliopsida; Poales; Poaceae.
AUGUGUUCUGGAUGCAUGCACGAGUUUGACAUGGACAAGCCGCCGUUGCUGCAGGAGGUGGAGGAUUUCUUCAGUGGCCACAAAAUCGAGGACUUUACCUUUAGUAGGGGCAGGCUGGUAGGACAGGAGGAACAUCAACAAGCGAUGGGAUGA